Small nucleolar RNA from Meriones unguiculatus (Mongolian gerbil), 132 nucleotides. Lineage: Eukaryota; Metazoa; Chordata; Mammalia; Rodentia; Muridae. The record is from Ensembl.
UCUGCCCCGAGAGGCAUUGCAGGUUUGGCUGCUGUGUCACUUGUGCGUCAGAAGGUGGCAGAGAGGAGAGAGGCCAUGUCUAUGCUCAGUAUGUUGACCUAUGAACACCUGAAUUCUUAGUAGCCUAACAUU